RNAcentral lists this ribosomal RNA (473 nucleotides) under uncultured bacterium. RNAcentral's name for it is "bacterial SSU rRNA". It matches the Rfam family "Bacterial small subunit ribosomal RNA", at positions 28 to 501 of the family's 1533-position model. The record is from RNAcentral.
GAUGAACGCUGGCGGCGUGCCUAACACAUGCAAGUCGAGCGGAGCUGCUUUGAUGAAGUUUUCGGAUGGAUUUAAAACAGCUUAGUGGCGGACGGGUGAGUAACGCGUGGGUAACCUGCCUCACACUGGGGGAUAACAGUUAGAAAUAGCUGCUAAUACCGCAUAAGCGCACAGUUCCGCAUGGAACAGUGUGAAAAACUCCGGUGGUGUGAGAUGGACCCGCGUCUGAUUAGCCAGUUGGCGGGGUAACGGCCCACCAAAGCGACGAUCAGUAGCCGGCCUGAGAGGGUGAACGGCCACAUUGGGACUGAGACACGGCCCAAACUCCUACGGAGGCAGCAGUGGGAAUAUUGGCACAAUGGGGGAAACCCUGAUGCAGCGACGCCGCGUGAGCGAAGAAGUAUUCGGGUAUGUAAAGCUCUAUCAGCAGGGAAGAAAAAAUGACGGUACCUGACUAAGAAGCCCGGCUAAAC